AACUCAGCACACCUGAGAGGUCAGAAUUAUUCUCCCGUUUCACAUAUAAAACGACUGAAGUGCACAGAAUGAAAGUAAAAGUGUUCACGGACCAACCAGAGAAAGGCUAGUGUGCUCUAAGGCUGGGCAUAUAGGAUGACUGUUCCUAUUUAGCCGACCACAAGCCUCUCCUUGCCCACGGCCUCCAACUGGAAUUGCUGGAAGUCUUCUCUUCUCUCCACUGUGAAGCUUAUCCUUUCCUGGCCUGCCUCUUAGUCUCUGCCAAACACAGCUGAUGGUGACUGAGUGCUUGACUAUAGUAAGCUCUGAAUAAAUGGCUUCAUUUGUCCUCA
Molecule: non-coding RNA, 332 nt
Organism: Microcebus murinus (gray mouse lemur)
Lineage: Eukaryota; Metazoa; Chordata; Mammalia; Primates; Cheirogaleidae
Source: RefSeq, a predicted model, not a curated record